RNAcentral lists this ribosomal RNA (253 nucleotides) under uncultured bacterium. Its description in RNAcentral is "partial 16S ribosomal RNA". It matches the Rfam family "Bacterial small subunit ribosomal RNA", at positions 524 to 776 of the family's 1533-position model. The record is from RNAcentral.
UACGGGGGGGGUAAGCGUUGUUCGGAAUUACUGGGCGUAAAGCGCGCGUAGGUGGCCCCAUAAGUCCGCUGUGAAAGUCAAAGGCUCAACCUUUGAAAGCCGGUGGAUACUGUGGGACUAGAGUACGGAAGAGGCGAGUGGAAUUCCUGGUGUAGCGGUGGAAUGCGCAGAUAUCAGGAGGAACACCAAUAGCGAAGGCAGCUCGCUGGGACGUUACUGACACUGAGGCGCGAAAGCGUGGGGAGCGAACAGG